UGGGGAAUAUUGCACAAUGGGGGAAACCCUGAUGCAGCGACGCCGCGUGAGUGAAGAAGUAUUUCGGUAUGUAAAGCUCUAUCAGCAGGGAAGAAGAAAGACGGUACCUGACUAAGAAGCCCCGGCUAACUACGUGCC
This 138-nucleotide ribosomal RNA is filed under the name uncultured bacterium. Its description in RNAcentral is "partial 16S ribosomal RNA". It matches the Rfam family "Bacterial small subunit ribosomal RNA", at positions 355 to 509 of the family's 1533-position model. The record is from RNAcentral.